GAGAAAGGCUGCCGCAAAAAUAAGCUGCUAACUUAAUUUUUUAGCGGUUAAAAUCCGUUACUAGCUCU
This 68-nucleotide transfer RNA is filed under the name Sinella curviseta. RNAcentral describes it as "tRNA-Ser". The record is from RNAcentral. Lineage: Eukaryota; Metazoa; Arthropoda; Collembola; Entomobryomorpha; Entomobryidae.